GGCCCGCUGGCUCAAUGGUAGAGCGUCUGACUACGAUUCGUGACUGAUAACUUCAAUCAGGAGGUUCCAGGUUCGAGACCUGGGUGGGUCG
Non-coding RNA from Podospora didyma, 91 nucleotides. NCBI's taxonomy places the organism in Eukaryota, Fungi, Ascomycota, Sordariomycetes, Sordariales, Podosporaceae. The record is from the annotation of a GenBank genome assembly.